RNAcentral lists this non-coding RNA (954 nucleotides) under Chlorurus sordidus (daisy parrotfish). RNAcentral describes it as "12S rRNA". It matches the Rfam family "Bacterial small subunit ribosomal RNA". The record is from RNAcentral. RNAcentral also lists the same sequence under 1 other name. Lineage: Eukaryota; Metazoa; Chordata; Actinopteri; Labriformes; Labridae.
CAAAGGUUUGGUCCCGGCCUUAUUCUCAACUGUAGCUGAACUUACACAUGCAAGUAUCCGCACCCCCGUGAAAAUGCCCCCCGCCCCCCACCCGGGGGCAAGGAGCUGGUAUCAGGCACAAAUCCAUUUAGCCAACGACACCUAGCCUAGCCACACCCCCAAGGGACUACAGCAGUGAUAGACAUUAAGCAAUGAGUGAAAACUCGACUUAGUUAAAGCUAAGAGGGCUGGUAAAUCUCGUGCCAGCCACCGCGGUUAUACGAAAGGCCCAAGUUGAAAAACAUUCGGCGUAAAGGGUGGCUAAGGACCUAUUUCAAACUAGAGCUAAAUUUCUUCAAAGCUGUUAUACGCUCAUGAAAACCAGAAAAUCAACCACGAAAGUGGCUCUAAUUACUCCUGACACCACGAAAGCUAUGGCACAAACUGGGAUUAGAUACCCCACUAUGCGUAGUCGUAAACCUAACAGCUCCUUACAUUCGCUGUUCGCCCGGGAACUACGAGCGUAAGCUUAAAACCCAAAGGACUUGACGGUGCUUUAUAUCCCCCUAGAGGAGCCUGUCCUAGAACCGAUAAUCCCCGUUUAACCUCACCUUUUCUUGCUUAUUCCGCCUAUAUACCGCCGUCUCCAGUCUACCCUGUAAAGGACCCAUAGUAGGCGUAAUUGGUUUAGCCCCAGACGACAGGUCGAGGUGUAGCGUAUGAAAAGGGAAGAGAUGGGCUACAUUCAGUGAUAGCACUGAAUACGGAGAGUUGAUUGAAAUAUUGACUUGAAGGUGGAUUUAGCAGUAAGCGGGGAGUAGAGAGCCCCACUGAAAUCGGCCCUGAAGCGUGUACACACCGCCCGUCACUCUCCCCGAGCAGAAAAACUCUUUACCUAAAAAGCCAUAAAAAUGUAAAGGGGAGGCAAGUCGUAACAUGGUAAGUGUACCGGAAGGUGCACUUGGACAAAAAUAU